This 467-nucleotide ribosomal RNA is filed under the name uncultured bacterium. RNAcentral's name for it is "partial 16S ribosomal RNA". It matches the Rfam family "Bacterial small subunit ribosomal RNA", at positions 28 to 507 of the family's 1533-position model. The record is from RNAcentral.
GACGAACGCUGGCGGCGUGCUUAACACAUGCAAGUCGAACGGAAAGGCCCUGCUUUUGUGGGGUGCUCGAGUGGCGAACGGGUGAGUAACACGUGAGUAACCUGCCCUUGACUUUGGGAUAACUUCAGGAAACUGGGCUAAUACCGGAUAAGAGCUCCUGCUGCAUGGUGGGGGUUGGAAAGUUUCGGCGGUUGGGGAUGGACUCGCGGCUUAUCAGCUUGUUGGUGGGGUAGUGGCUUACCAAGGCUUUGACGGGUAGCCGGCCUGAGAGGGUGACCGGCCACAUUGGGACUGAGAUACGGCCCAGACUCCUACGGGAGGCAGCAGUGGGGAAUAUUGCACAAUGGGCGGAAGCCUGAUGCAGCAACGCCGCGUGCGGGAUGACGGCCUUCGGGUUGUAAACCGCUUUCGCCUGUGACGAAGCGUGAGUGACGGUAAUGGGUAAAGAAGCACCGGCUAACUACGUG